CUAACUUCGGCUACAGGGCUUAGAUCAAGUGUAGUAUCUGUUCUUUUCAGUUUAAUGUAAGUUCCUAUUCCUGAUGGUACUCCACGAAGUCUCUGCUGACAGCUGGUAAAGAUCUGAAAGUCACUCAAACUGGGUGAUUUAUGGUAUAAUUCUAUUUUUGAACUUCGGAGCCAAUCUCUGGGCUUGCCUACGUUGACCCCACUGUGUCUCUGGUAUCGCACCAUCUCCAGUUGAUGCAACUUUGC
RNAcentral lists this small nuclear RNA (245 nucleotides) under Dactylellina haptotyla CBS 200.50. Its description in RNAcentral is "U2 spliceosomal RNA". It matches the Rfam family "U2 spliceosomal RNA". From Rfam's summary of the family: U2 is a small nuclear RNA (snRNA) component of the spliceosome (involved in pre-mRNA splicing). Complementary binding between U2 snRNA (in an area lying towards the 5' end but 3' to hairpin I) and the branchpoint sequence (BPS) of the intron results the bulging out of an unpaired adenosine, on the BPS, which initiates a nucleophilic attack at the intronic 5' splice site, thus starting the first of two transesterification reactions that mediate splicing. Lineage: Eukaryota; Fungi; Ascomycota; Orbiliomycetes; Orbiliales; Orbiliaceae. The record is from Rfam by way of RNAcentral.